UCUAAAAUAACAACUUCCAAAGUUUAUUUUUUUCUUCUCCUCUAUAAUUUUAUAUAAUAGCAUUUUAUAACAUUUAGUAUUAUAGUUUAAUGCCAGUUUACAUCUACAAUACAGAUUUUGAAAGUCUGUGUUAUAUUUAAUGUUAAUAACAAUCAUGGUUCUGUUUACUAGGAAAGUGUGUAUGAGAUGAUCUACCUGCUAGAGCAUCUUACGUCUACUGGUUGGUGGAGCCUCAGUGCAGAAACAAAUAUUUCAUGAUACUGAUCACUGAUAUUAGUCCUGAGUGAAACAGACAUCUGUCAGAUGGCCUUGGCUCCAAAUGCUUCCUGAGCAUUUCCGAAGGCGAGAGAAAUUGUUCCAAAUCUUCGUGCCGCACACUGACGUCCUUCACUCUUAUGGCAAAACAGAUGGAGGUACCAGCUCUACCAUGUACUGAAGAGUGAGCCUGUUCCCUUAGUGCAGUAUGUACAAGUCUGAUCAGAUGCCCUUCUUCCAGAGUCCAAGUGACAGAAAACAAGACAGAAGCAGAAAUUUACCAUUGACCGAAGCUCCAUUAGUGAAUCAAUUUUUAAGUAAGAAGUUCUGUUUUGCUCAUCUUCCAUGUAUUGAGGCCACCUGAUACGGGACUUCUGGCUGGGGAAUGGUAAGUAACACUGCUUGUGCUUGGAUUUGAGUGACAAUGUCUCUUCUGAGAAACUGGUUCUUUUUAAAUGUACAACUGUUCUUUCUCUUAUUAGUUCUCUUUUGAAGUACGCGUAUCUGCAGCACUCAGCAAAGUUAUCAACUUCUGUUUUGAAAGUUUUGGUCUUUAUGAUUAGCAUUUUAAUAUAUGAAGGGAUCCUGUGUGAAGCUUUUUCUUGAAAGAGGCCACAAGGAAUAAUUUACUACUCCAGCUUCAGAGGAGAUGUGCUCCAUCCCUCUGAUUAUCCUUGUUGUUCUCCUCUGGACCUGCUCCAACAGCUCUGCAUCCCUCCUGUACUGAGGGCCCCAGUCCUGGACGCAGUGCUCUAGAUGGGGCUUUA
RNAcentral lists this long non-coding RNA (1022 nucleotides) under Coturnix japonica (Japanese quail). Its description in RNAcentral is "lncRNA (ENSCJPG00005012144.1)". The record is from RNAcentral. Lineage: Eukaryota; Metazoa; Chordata; Aves; Galliformes; Phasianidae.